RNAcentral lists this ribosomal RNA (566 nucleotides) under uncultured glomeraceous AM fungus. RNAcentral describes it as "eukaryotic LSU rRNA". The stretch from base 163 to 316 matches the Rfam family "5.8S ribosomal RNA". Lineage: Eukaryota; Fungi; Glomeromycota; Glomeromycetes; Glomerales; Glomeraceae. The record is from RNAcentral.
UUUAGAGGAAGUAAAAGUCGUAACAAGGUUUCCGUAGGUGAACCUGCGGAAGGAUCAUUAUUGAUUUAGCGAACCGAGCGUUAGCGAGGUUCUGCGAUCGUUUAUAUUUAAAACCCACUCUUGAAUGUAUAAAAUUUAUGUAUUAAUGAUAAAAAUAAAGAUCACUUUCAACAACGGAUCUCUUGGCUCUCGCAUCGAUGAAGAACGUAGCGAAGUGCGAUAAGUAAUGUGAAUUGCAGAAUUCCGUGAAUCAUCGAAUCUUUGAACGCAAAUUGCACUUUCUGGUAUUCCGGAAAGUAUGCCUGUUUGAGGGUCAGUUAAAUAAAAAUCGGUGUUGUUGCUGCCUUUCGUGGUGACGCGUCGGAAUUGGGUCGUCUUUACCUUCGGUUAAGUGACUUAAAAUUUUUUAUGAUUUUCGAACGUAUUUAAAUCGCUUACGUACGUUUGAGAUAUCGAAUGUUUAUUGGGUUCGGUCAUCCUCAUGAUUCAAGCCUAUAAUUUUUCAUUAAAUGACCUCAAAUCAGGUAAGAAUACCCGCUGAACUUAAGCAUAUCAAUAAGCGGAGG